Molecule: small nuclear RNA, 103 nt
Organism: Sciurus carolinensis (gray squirrel)
Lineage: Eukaryota; Metazoa; Chordata; Mammalia; Rodentia; Sciuridae
Source: RefSeq, a predicted model, not a curated record
GUGCUUGCUUCAGCAGCACAUAUACUAAAACUGUAAUGAUGGAAGAUUAGCAUGACCCCUGUGCAAGGAUGACACACAAAUUCAUGAAGCAUUCCAUAUUUUU